This 7773-nucleotide long non-coding RNA is filed under the name Mytilus galloprovincialis (Mediterranean mussel). Lineage: Eukaryota; Metazoa; Mollusca; Bivalvia; Mytilida; Mytilidae. The record is from RNAcentral.
GUAUCUGCAAGAACUUGUCAGGCCAAAAGAAAAAAUUUGAAACUGUGUCAGAAUUUGACUUGAUUUUAUAUCUUUCUGUGAGUUAAUUCCUGUUUUAAAUUAAAUGAUGAAAUAUCGAGUUGCUUUUAUAAUAAUAAAGAAAAGACAAGUAAACUAUAUGAAUUUAUGGCCAAUUACCUGAAACUAAGAUCAAUAGAGUGACUGACAAUAAGAAUGCAUUUGAAUUUGUUGCAUCUUAACUGGUUUCAGUGUCUGGAAUGUUUGAAAUACUUGCUUGACACAAGGGUAUUAUUUUUUUUUAUUAUAUAUAACUAUAUAAUAUUUUCCUCUCUAGAAAUGGAGCCUAAUUAUUAGUUGCAUGGUUAUACAAUUGAUUGUUUUGGUUGAUUUUUCCAAGUACACAUGGUAUAUAACCAAUUUAUCCUAAAUUUGUCACACUUUUAUGGUAGGAAUAGAAUAUUGUUGAAACUUAGUGAAAUUUUAAUGUUGAAAAGUCUAAAUGACAUAAUACAUAAAAAACAAAAUAUAAGAAUUGAUAUCCUUAGCAUCUUUACCAUUAUGACAUUUUAUAUGAAAUGUCACAGGUUUUCUUCUAAUUACUUUUGUCAGACUCGAUUUGUAUGGAAUUUCCUUCUUAUUCAAUUGUUAUCCACUCAUAUAAUGAAUGGUAGCUUACAUUAUAUUCUUGUAAACUUCAAGCACAUUACAAAUCAUUCUACUGUCUGUCUGGUACAUUCUUGGUUUUAUAUACAUAUUGCAUAAGCAUGCGAUGUCCAAACAUGUACAUUAUGUAUGUAAAAUUUGCACACAUGUUUAAUAUACUAUGUCGUAUAGCAGUAACAAUAAAUAACAUUCACCAGAACAUGUUAGGUUGGGUUUUUUUUUUGCUCGUGUCGCAUCAUUUUGUACGGCAUUACAAUAGAUCACAUUUAAUUGUUGAGUUUUCUGUUGACUCCUUUUACAUCAUGUGUAUAUACUAGAAUAGACUACAUUCAAAUGUUGGGUAAUUUUUUGUCGAGCCUGCAACUUUUAUUGCAGAAAGCUCGACAUAGGGAUAGUGUUCUGGUGGCUACGGCAGCGGCGGUGUUGGCUAGCUUCUAAAAAGUUUCAUGUUUUAGAAGGUGGAAGACCUGGACGCUUCAUACUUUGUAUAUGGAUGCCUCAUGUUACGAAGUUUCCGUCAGUCACAUGUCCAAUGUCCUUGUUCUCAAUUUCAUGGUUCAGUGACUACUUGUAAUAAAAAGUUCAGAUUUUUUGUAAUGUUAAUUUCUCUCUUAUUAUAAGUAAUAAGAUUACUAUAUUUGGUAUGUGCAUAGCUUGCAAGGUCCUCAUGCCUGUCAGACAGUUUUCAAUUGACCUCUACCUCAUUUCAUGGAUCAGUGAACAAGGUUAAGUUUCAGUGAUCAAGUCCAUAUCUCAGAUACUAUAAGCAAUAGGUCUUGUAUAUUUGGUGUAUGGAAGGACUGUAGAUGUACAGUCAUGUCCAACUGGCAGUUGUCAUCUGACCUUGACCUCAUUGUCAUGGUUCAGGGGUUAUAGUUAAGUCUUUGUGUUUUGGUCUGUUUUUCUUAUACUGUAUGCAAUAGGUCUACUGUAUUUGGUGUAUGGAAUGAUUGUAAGGUGUACAUGUGUAGCUGGCAUGUGUCAUCUGACCUUGACCUCAUUUUCAUGGUUCAAUGGUUAUAAUAGUUAUGUUUUUGAGUUUUGGUCUUUUUUUUCUUAUACUAUAUGCAAUAGGUCAACUAUAUUUGGUGUAUGGAAAUAUUUUAUAAUCUAUAUGUCAGUUGUGCAGGUUUUAUUUCACCUUGACCUCAUUUUCACUGUUCAUUGCUCAGUGUUGAGUUUUUUAUCGACCACAAAAAAUAUUUUUUUGUCGUAUAUUGGUAUCCGACGUCGUCCUCGUCGUCCAAAGACAUUUGGUUUUCGAACUCUUACUCCAGUAUAAGUAAAUAGAAAUCUAUGAAUUUUAACACAAGGUUUAUGACCAUAAAAGGAAGGUUGAGAUCGAUUUUGAGAGUUUUGGUCUUAACAGUUUAGGAAUAAGGGGCCAAAAAGGGCCAAAAUAAGCAUUUUUCUUAGUUUUCGCACAAUAACUUUAGUAUAAGUAAACAGUUAUCUAUGAAAUUUUAAUAUAAGGUUUAUGACCACAAAAGGAAGGUUGGGAUUGAUUUGGGGAGUUUUGGUCCCAACAGUUUAGGAAUUAGGGGCCAAAAAAAGGUCUCAAAUAAGCAUUUUUCUUGGUUUUUUGCACAAUAACUUUAGUAUAAGUAAAUAGAAAUCUAUGACAUUUCAACACAAGGUUUAUGACCACAAAAUGAAGGCUGUGAUUGAUUUUUGGAGUACGGCAUUGUCAUAACAGUUUAGGAAUUAGGGUCCAAAAGGGUCCCAAAUUAACCUUUGUUCGAAUUUCAUCAAAAAACGAAUCAAUGGGGUUCUUUGAUAUGCGGAAUCUAACUGUGUGUUUAGAUUCUUAAUAUUUGGUCCUGUUUUCAAAUUGGUCUACAUUAAGGUCAAUGCAAAGGGUCCAAAAUUAAACUUAGUUUGAUUUUAACAAAAUUUGAAUUCUUGGGGUUCUUUGAUAUGCUGAAUCUAAACAUGUUCUUAGAUUUUUUAUUAUGGGCUCAGUUUUCAAGUUGGUCCAAAUUGGGGUCCAAAAUUAAACUUUGUUUGAUUUCAACAAAAAUUGAAUAUAUGGAAUUCUUGAAUAUGCUUAAUCUAACCAUGUAUUUAGAUUUUUAUACGACUGCAAAAAUUGAAAGUUUAUUGGUCGUAUAUUGGUAUCACGUUGGCAUCGUCGUCGUCAAAGACUUUUGGUUUUUCGCAAUCUAACUGUAGUAAAAGUAAAUAGUAGUCUAUUAAAUUUCAACACAAGGUUUAUGACCAUAAAAGGAAGGUUGGGAUUGAUUUUGGGUGUUUUGGUCCCAACGAAUUGGGGACCAAAAAGGGCCCAAAUAAGCAUUUUUCUUGGUUUUCGAACAAUAACUUUAGUAUAAGUAUACAGAAAUCUAUGAAAUUUUAACACAAGGUUUAUGACCACAAAAGGAAGGUUUGGAGAGAUUUGGUGAUUUGUCCCAACGAAUUAGGGUCCAAAAUUAAACUUUGUUUCACGAGUUGGUUGACCUUUAUGGAAUAUCCGUUUUACAGAUGAUAUCUGAUAUGUUCCUUAUGUCGUAACUACAAUCCUGUUCUCUUUUCACGAAUGUGACCUACAGAAUUAGACUAUAUUUACCCCUAUUUGUGACAUUGUUACCUAUUGUUUUUGUUGUUAUGUUCACACAUCGUUGUCAAUAUAAUGGAAUUUGAUGUGACUGUCAUAGAAGUGAGAGGUUUAGCUAACUUUAAAAUCAGGUUCAAUUCACCAUUUUCUACAUAAGAAAAUGCCUCUACCAAGUCAGGAAUAUGACAGUUGUUGUUUAUUCAUUUGAUGUGUUUGAACUUUUGAUUUUGCCAUUUGAUUGUUGACUUUCCUUUUUGAAUUUUCCUUGGAGUUCAGUAUUUUUGUGAUUUUACUUUUUUUCUUUUACUAUGUGUUACAUCAGGUUUAUCAUUACAAUUGACCACAUUCACAUGGUGUGUUUUCUUUUACUCAGAUUGCAUCAGGUUUAUUCAUUACAAUAGACCACAUUCAAUGGUGAGUUUUCUUUACUCAGAUUGCAUCAGGUUUAUUUACAAUAGACCACAUUCACAUGGUGAGUUUUCUUUUACUCAGGUUUACAUCAGGUUUAUCAUUACAUAGACCACAUUCACAUGGUGAGUUUUCUUUUACUCAGGUUGCAUCAGGUUUAUCAUUACAAUAGACCACAUUCACAUGGUGAGUUUUCAUUUACUCAGAUUGCAUCAGGUUUAUCAUUACAAUAGACCACAUUCACAUGGUGAGUUUUCUUUUACUCAGGUUGCAUCAGGUUUAUCAUUACAAUAGACCACAUUCACAUGGUGAGUUUUCUUUUACUCAGGUUACAUCAUGUUUAUCAUUACAAUAGACCACAUUCACAUGGUGUGUUUUCUUUUACUCAGGUUGCAUCAGGUUUAUCAUUACAAUAGACCACAUUCACUUGGUAAGUUUUCUUUUACUCAGGUUGCAUCAUGUUUAUCAUUACAAUAGACCACAUUCACUUGGUGAGUUUUCUUUUACUCAGGUUGCAUCAUAUUUAUCAUUACAAUAGACCACAUUCACAUGGUGAGUUUUCUUCUACUCAGAUUGCAUCAUGUUUAUCAUUACAAUUGACCACAUUCACAUGGUGAGUAAAUUUUCAUUUACUCAGAUUGCAUCAGGUUUAUCCUUGCAAUAGACCACAUUCACAUGGUGAGUUUUCUUUUAAUCUUGUUACAUCAUGUUUAUCAUUACAAUAGACCACAUUCACAUGGUGUGUUUUCUUUUACUCAGGUUGGGUCUGGUUUUUCAUUAUAAUAGACCACUUUCACAUGGUGAGUUUUCUUUUACUCAGGUUGGGUCAGGUUUAUCAUUACAAUAGACCACAUUCACAUGGUGAGUUUUCUUUUACUCAGGUUGGGUCAGGUUUAUCAUUACAAUAGACCACAUUCACAUGAUGUGUUUUCUUUUACUCAGGUUGGGUCAGGUUUAUCAUUACAAUAGACCACAUUCACAUGAUGGGUUUUCUUUUACUCAGGUUGGGUCAGGUUUAUCAUUGCAAUAGACCACAUUCACAUGGUGUGUUUUCUUUUACUUAGGUUGCAUCAGGUUUAUCAUUACAAUAGACCACAUUCACAUGGUGAGUUUUCUUUUACUCAGAUUGGCAUCAGUUAUCAUACAAUAGGACCACAUUCACAUUGAGUUUUCUUUUACUCAGGUUGCAUCAGGUUUAUCAUUGCAAUAGACCACAUUCACAUGGUGAGUUUUCUUUUACUCAUUGUUUUAAUCAUGUACAAUUAACCACAUUCACAUGUGGGUUUUCUUUUAUUUUUACAUUACAAUAGACCACAUUCACAUGGUGGGUUUUCUUUUACUUUGGUUUCAUCAGGUUUAACUUUAGAAUAGACUCGAUUCACAUGUUAGGGGUUUUAUGUUUCCCAUGUUACAUUGUGUUUAACAUUAUAAUGUUGAGUUUUCUUUCACUCAUGUUACAUCAUCUUGUUUUGGCAUUAUGGUAGACCACAUUCUCAUGGUUAGCUCCCUUUUACUCAUGUAACAUCAUGUUUCACAGUCUCAUGUUAUGUUUUCUAUACUCAUGUUACAUCAUGUUUAAAUUACAAUAGAUUGCAUUCACAUGUUUGGUUUUAUUCUACUCAAGUAGCCUGAUGUUAUAUGACAUUACAAUAGAGCACAGAAAGUAAGGAGGAAGAGGAACAAUAUAUAUUUACCCUGGAGGAGUUACUAUAACUAUUGUUUAGGGUAUAACUGUGCAAACAGCGCUCAAUGCCAAAUCAUACCCUGUUCUAACCAGUAAAGAUUGAAAAACAUUACCUGUUCUAAACAGAUCGAGAUAUUGAAAAACAUACCUGUUCUAGAAAAUUCACAAUUGUUAAAAUAUGCAUCAGGAAUGAUCCUGUUCUAGACCGUUUAAAAUAAAUACUGUUCUAGACUGGGUUCUAGACUGUAUCUUAAACAGUUAAAUAAGUGGUUCUGUUCUAGACAAAUACUUUGUUUGAACAAAGACCCUGUUCUCACCAGCAAGACAUCCCCUUACGAAAAUGGUACAGGAUAACACUAGAUAUCCCCAGGAUAAUCUUAAGAAAAAUCACAGGGUAAUCUUGAGAUAUCUUGAUCCUGAGAUAGGGGUAAACAUUGGACGGUGUUAAAUUUGGAACAAGGAUAUUCCAGGGAUAUCCAGAGACCAUCCCGACCAAAAAUAUCCUAGUAAAAAUUAAAUCCUGUUAUAAUCCUGUGCUCAGGAUUCAUCAUGUACGCAGGUCCUGGCCUUGAAGGCAUAAAACUUUGCUCAGUGCUUGGAGCACAAAAAUCAUGCUCGAAACAUUAAAUCCAGCAAUUUGAUUGGUUGAUUUUCGAGUCUGCAGUACAAAUUAUCCUCUAAAGUUUUAUGACCGUGAGGAAAUUUACAGAUUUGCUUGCAUUGAGUUGGUCCUGAGAUAAUCCUGGGAUAAUCCUGGUAUAUCCUGUGAAUAUCCUGAGAAUGUCCUAGCUUAUUUCAGGACCAUGCUGAGUAAAUGUCUUAUAUGUACAUAUUCUAUAAUAAGUUUACAAAAUUUAAGUAAAAUCCUUUUUUAAUGCACAAUUUUUUUCUAUGCAAAUAUUUUCUUAAAUUAGUUUAAAUCCAUAUUCCUCAUUCUAUAAAGCAAGUGCGGAUCCAUAAUAAUUUGUGUAUUUCAAAAAUGUUUGACAAAAUAGUUUUAGUUUCUUUCCCCUAUUCUAUCACCCUUCACAAAUCAUGACUAAAACACUAUCUUCAUGUGAAUAUUUACUUCAACAAACAACAGUUAAUUUCAGUCCCAAAGAUUUUUUUUCUUAUUUGAAUUUGUGCCAUACAGAUUAAUUAUAUUUUUUCUCAAGUCCCAAUACCAGGAAUCAUCAAGGACUUUAUAUUGUUUUUUUUUCAUUCAGAGAGAAUUUGUAAAGUUUCUGAAAGUAGAAUGAAUGUUGAAGGAAAAGUCCUAAUAUAUCCUGGUUUAUAUUAUAUUUAUUUUUGAAAGUCUUUAGAUUAUAUCCUAGUUUUAUAAAAGCUGCUUGAGUUGAAAGUCCUGACAUUUCCUGAAAUUCUCCCAUCAACUUCAUUAAAAAAGGGCUAAAUGCUUUACAGGAUAUUUUCAGGAUUUCCCAGGAUAAUCUUGAGAUAUCCUGAUAAAAAGAAUUGUCAGGAUUUAUUUCUGCAAGGGUCUGUUCUGAGCAGAACAUGAAAAAGGGACCCUGUUCUAACCAGCAGAUAAUGAAAAGGUGACCCUGUUUUGGGGUACACUCGUACCACUAAAAAUAUAAGAAUGUUUUUUACAAAUUACAAGUUCAUAAAAUAAUUAACUAUAUAUUGACAUUUCAAUUUGUUUUCAUAGCCUUUGCCUUUGAGGUAACCCAAGUACAUGUACAAAUAACUUUAUAAAAAGUCAUCUGAGAGGAAGAACUUUGUCUUAUACAAUAGAGUUCUGAUAUCUUACUGACUUUUAAUAUCAAGAUUCUUUCUUAGUGAUAGCUAUAGAUCGAUAGAAUUUAAGGCAUGUUAUAUUGAUAUAAAAGUACCGAUAUUGAUGAACAGAAAUAGUAAAAUAUGCAGAUACAACAGAAAGGAAUUGAAGAGUUAAAUGAAGACUAUAAAAUUCUAAAUAGACAGUUUAAUUGUUAACAAACAUCAUGCCUAAUAAGACUGAUAAUUUAAGUUUUCAAUUCAUUUCUUUCCAGAGUUUUGCUCUUCUCAUGGUCGCCAUUCUCGUGUUGAAGUUAGAACAGUUUUAGUUCGUAGUAUCACCACAACAACAUGGCGUGCACAACAAAAAUUUUUAAAGCACAAAGACUUUUUCAAAGGACCUCACUCGUAAUUGUCUAUAUUUGCAGAUUUCUGUGUUGCAAACAGUCGUCAUUCCAGAACUAAAGUGCGUACUGUUCUACAGCGGAGUGUUUGUUUUGCCAGUUGGCAUGCUAAACAGAAAGUUAUGCAGAAUUUAAGACCUUCUCAACUCAGCUAUUAUUAAUUGACAAUAUAGCAUAAACCUGUAUUAAAAAAAAGCCACAAUUUAUUUAUUCAAAUAUAGUGCAUUCAUUGUAUUUGUAUCUAUAGUUUUUGUUUGUAUAAACAGAAUUUAUAAUACAUCAGAAAAAAAUCUAAAUUAGAAACCAUUUUAAGUCGGUUGACUGCGUUUUCCCUUCACAAC